CCCCGGUGACCUGCCACCCGGCCUCCUUCCGCUGUGGCGACGGCACCUGCGUCCCCUCGGCGUGGGUCUGUGACGGGCAGCACGACUGCAGCGACAACGCUGACGAGAGCAACUGCACCGUCACGGAGAGAACCUGCGCCCCGGACUAUUUCCUCUGUGGAGACGGACGCUGCAUCCCCUCCUCCUGGGUCUGUGAUGGACGCGCUGACUGCUUGGAUCUCAGUGACGAGGGGAACUGCACCACCGUAGAACCCGCCUGCUCGGUAACAGACUUUCUCUGUGAUGAUGGUACCUGCAUUCCUUCCUCUGGAGUCUGUGAUGGAGUGAAUCAGUGUGUGGACGGGAGUGACGAGAGGAAUUGUUCCACCGUAGAACCCACCUGUCCCCCAUCUGACUUCCGUUGUGAUGAUGGUACCUGCAUCCCCUCGACUGGAGUCUGUGAUGGAGUGAGUCAGUGUGUGGACAGGCGUGACGAGAGAA
Long non-coding RNA from Clupea harengus (Atlantic herring), 480 nucleotides. RefSeq lists it as uncharacterized. The transcript has 4 exons. The record is from RefSeq and is a predicted model, not a curated record. Lineage: Eukaryota; Metazoa; Chordata; Actinopteri; Clupeiformes; Clupeidae.